This 125-nucleotide microRNA precursor is filed under the name Myotis lucifugus (little brown bat). Its description in RNAcentral is "mir-9193 microRNA precursor family". It matches the Rfam family "mir-9193 microRNA precursor family". The record is from Rfam by way of RNAcentral. Lineage: Eukaryota; Metazoa; Chordata; Mammalia; Chiroptera; Vespertilionidae.
CAUGCACCAGUGGGGUCCCUUGGCCUGGCCUGCACCCUCUGGCAAUCGGGACCCCUUGAGGGAUGUUGGAGAGCCUGUUUCGACCUGAUCCUGCAGGCCAGGCCGAGGGACCCCACUGGUGCACA